This 88-nucleotide transfer RNA is filed under the name Candidatus Phytoplasma mali AT. It matches the Rfam family "tRNA". From Rfam's summary of the family: Transfer RNA (tRNA) molecules are approximately 80 nucleotides in length. Lineage: Bacteria; Bacillati; Mycoplasmatota; Mollicutes; Acholeplasmatales; Acholeplasmataceae. The record is from Rfam by way of RNAcentral.
GGAGGAAUACUCAAGGGGCUUAAGAGGUACGCUUGGAAAGCGUAUAGAUCUUUAAAAAGAUGCAAGGGUUCGAAUCCCUUUUCCUCCG